AGGUGGAGUGGCCGAGCGUCCAGGUGGCAGGCUGUAGUCCUGUUUAUGUGGGUUCAAAUCCUAUUUCUAU
Molecule: transfer RNA, 70 nt
Filed under: Saltuarius cornutus (Northern leaf-tail gecko)
Lineage: Eukaryota; Metazoa; Chordata; Lepidosauria; Squamata; Carphodactylidae
Description: tRNA-Tyr
Rfam family: tRNA
About the family: Transfer RNA (tRNA) molecules are approximately 80 nucleotides in length.
Source: RNAcentral